AUCUGCGUGGUGUAUUAACACACCGCUUUUUCGAGGCGGAGUAGGGGCGCACUCCCCGCAGGUA
This 64-nucleotide transfer RNA is filed under the name Pharyngocirrus uchidai. Its description in RNAcentral is "tRNA-Glu". Lineage: Eukaryota; Metazoa; Annelida; Polychaeta; Saccocirridae. The record is from RNAcentral.